Pomacea canaliculata is the source of this 559-nucleotide long non-coding RNA. RefSeq lists it as uncharacterized. The transcript is spliced from 3 exons. NCBI's taxonomy places the organism in Eukaryota, Metazoa, Mollusca, Gastropoda, Architaenioglossa, Ampullariidae. The record is from RefSeq and is a predicted model, not a curated record.
CGGUACUGCCAUCCUGAUCCACUCACAGACAAGUGGUCUCCAUACUGGACUAUUUAAAAGAGAGGACCGCUCCUUGACCUCAGGCACAGAGUUGCAUUCAGAACGUGAACGAAGAAGGAAGACUCAUUUCGACAAGAUGAAGACCUUCUGUCUGCUGCUGGCCCUGUGCCUGGUGCUCGCCCUUGUCGCGAGUGGCGCUGAUGCUGUCUCGGACUUUGACCCUGCUGACGAUGAAAAAGAGGAAAAACGGGAAAAACGUAUCUGGGGAACGGUUGCCCGCUGGGCUAUUGGGGGAAUCGGACGUCUGAUGGGAAAUAGAAGACGAAAAGGAUAAAGGUCGCGGCAACUCACGCAAAUCAAAAGACGAUGACGGAUGUGAUGUCAGCUGCCUCUCGGCGGGUCAUGGACAAGAGCCUGUCACGUGAUUCACGCUAUCAAUCUAUUCUCAUCGUCUUCAGAAUCCCUCGAUCAGUGUUGACAAUGUCUUCAUUCAUAAUUGGUUUCCGUCUGCGGGAUACUUUAUUUUUUCUAAUAUUUGAAAAAUAAAUUCUGCACUCUA